Molecule: ribosomal RNA, 584 nt
Filed under: Blastocystis sp. subtype 2
Lineage: Eukaryota; Bigyra; Opalinata; Blastocystidae
Description: SSU rRNA
Rfam family: Eukaryotic small subunit ribosomal RNA
Source: RNAcentral
GGGUGAUGAGAGCUAGUCUCAAGUACUCACAACCUCCCCCCUCCAAUCGGUGUAGUGGGGUAUUCAGUUAUUCUACUACUCCUUUGGUCGUUUACUGUGAGAAAAUUAGAGUGUUCAAAGCGGGCGUUUGUUUGAAUAGAUUAGCAUGGAAUAAUGAUUGAAGGCUUUCGUGUUCGAUUUGAUUGGUUUGUUCAUGGAAGCAAGGUUAAAAGGAACAGUUGGGGGUAUUCAUAUUCACUAGUUAGAGGUGAAAUUCUCGGAUUUAUGGAAGAUGAACAGGUGCGAAAGCAUUUACCAAGGAUGUUUUCAUUAAUCAAGAACGAAAGCUAGGGGAUCGAAGAGGAUUAGAUACCCUCGUAGUCUUAGCUAUAAACGAUACCGACUAGGGGUUAGUAGAGGUCAAUGUGUCUCUAUUAGUACCUUAUGAGAAAUCAAAGUCUUUGGGUUCCGGGGGGGAGUAUGGUCGCAAGGCUGAAACUUAAAGGAAUUGACGGAAGGGCACCACCAGGAGUGGAGCCUGCGGCUUAAUUUGACUCAACACGGGGAAACUUUACCAGGGUCCAGACAUAGAAGGGGAUUUGAAA